GCGGGAGUAGCUCAGGGGUAGAGCGUCUGCCUUCCAAGCAGAAUGUCGAGGGUUCGAAUCCCUUCUCCCGCUCCA
RNAcentral lists this transfer RNA (75 nucleotides) under Chloroflexota bacterium. RNAcentral describes it as "tRNA-Gly". It matches the Rfam family "tRNA". Rfam says of the family: Transfer RNA (tRNA) molecules are approximately 80 nucleotides in length. Their secondary structure includes four short double-helical elements and three loops (D, anti-codon, and T loops). Further hydrogen bonds mediate the characteristic L-shaped molecular structure. tRNAs have two regions of fundamental functional importance: the anti-codon, which is responsible for specific mRNA codon recognition, and the 3' end, to which the tRNAs corresponding amino acid is attached (by aminoacyl-tRNA synthetases). tRNAs cope with the degeneracy of the genetic code in two manners: having more than one tRNA (with a specific anti-codon) for a particular amino acid; and 'wobble' base-pairing, i.e. permitting non-standard base-pairing at the 3rd anti-codon position. Lineage: Bacteria; Bacillati; Chloroflexota. RNAcentral also lists the same sequence under 1 other name. The record is from RNAcentral.